RNAcentral lists this ribosomal RNA (440 nucleotides) under uncultured bacterium. Its description in RNAcentral is "partial 16S ribosomal RNA". It matches the Rfam family "Bacterial small subunit ribosomal RNA", at positions 338 to 795 of the family's 1533-position model. The record is from RNAcentral.
CCUACGGGUGGCUGCAGUGGGGAAUAUUGGACAAUGGGGGCAACCCUGAUCCAGCCAUGCCGCGUGAGUGAUGAAGGCCCUAGGGUUGUAAAGCUCUUUUGUGCGGGAAGAUAAUGACGGUACCGCAAGAAUAAGCCCCGGCUAACUUCGUGCCAGCAGCCGCGGUAAUACGAAGGGGGCUAGCGUUGCUCGGAAUCACUGGGCGUAAAGGGUGCGUAGGCGGGUUUUUAAGUCAGGGGUGAAAUCCUGGAGCUCAACUCCAGAACUGCCUUUGAUACGGAAGAUCUUGAGUCCGGGAGAGGUGAGUGGAACUGCGAGGGUAGAGGUGAAAUUCGUAGAUAUUCGCAAGAACACCAGUGGCGAAGGCGGCUCACUGGACCGGUACUGACGCUGAGGCACGAAAGCGUGGGGAGCAAACAGGAUUAGAUACCCCGGUAGUC